RNAcentral lists this non-coding RNA (121 nucleotides) under marine eukaryotic metagenome. RNAcentral's name for it is "Moco (molybdenum cofactor) riboswitch". The stretch from base 9 to 115 matches the Rfam family "Molybdenum/Tungsten riboswitch aptamer (Moco RNA motif)", at positions 15 to 117 of the family's 135-position model. The record is from RNAcentral.
AAAGCUCCCCGAGCCGGCGGGCCUAAGGGGAUGUACCUAUGGUCGCCGGCCGAUACCGCCGGAACGCGGUAGAGGGUGCGGGCGGAAACGCCCGUGCCUCCCGUGCUUGGAAAGGCGGAGC